GGAAACGCCUUAUACUAAAACUUAAAAAUUUGCACAAAACCAAACAAAAAAGCCUCGAGCAACCAUUCCAGUCUCUCGUCAUCUCACUCGUUCUCUCCUUUCUUCCAUUCGGUUGUAGAACGUAAGUUCGAAGAUAUGAGUGAACUAUUAGCAGGACGGCGAGCAGCGGGCAGGCCUAGUACGUGAAUGCGAAAUGUCAAAUUGAACUACAGUUACCCAUUGUCAACUUUCUGCUAUGGCAAUUCGUACACUUCAAAUUUGAUCUGAUGCAAGAAACACUUUAUCUCAUGGUGACAUUGUUAGACCAAUAUCUUUCUGAAGUCCCAAUUAAGAAGAAUGAAAUGCAAUUAAUUGAUCUUACUGCACUCUUGUUGGCAUCAAAGUAUGAGGACUUUUGGCAUCCAAGGGUAUAUAUCAGUAUCUCAACUUGCAUGACUUUUUUUAUAGGAUUAAAUACUUGUUACUCCCUGUACUUUGCUCCA
Rosa rugosa (rugosa rose) is the source of this 482-nucleotide long non-coding RNA. RefSeq lists it as uncharacterized. The transcript has 3 exons. The record is from RefSeq and is a predicted model, not a curated record. NCBI's taxonomy places the organism in Eukaryota, Viridiplantae, Streptophyta, Magnoliopsida, Rosales, Rosaceae.